RNAcentral lists this ribosomal RNA (1380 nucleotides) under Kamimuria klapaleki. RNAcentral's name for it is "16S ribosomal RNA". The stretch from base 679 to 1380 matches the Rfam family "Archaeal large subunit ribosomal RNA", at positions 1423 to 2859 of the family's 2987-position model. Lineage: Eukaryota; Metazoa; Arthropoda; Insecta; Plecoptera; Perlidae. The record is from RNAcentral.
AAAUAGUUAUGUAUUAACUGAGGUUAAGAGUUAUUGGUAAGAAAAUGAUUUUUUAAUAAAAAUAUUUUUAUUGAAGGAGUAAGGAAUGAAGAGUUAAGAGUAUCGAAUAGAGAAAAAAUUUUAUGAGUUAUAGUGAUUUAUUGUACUGUAAGGGUAGAUUUGAAAUAUAAGAAUAAUUAAGUUUAUGGAAAGUAGAUUUUGUUUAUUGUACCUUUUGUAUCAGGGUUGAUUAAAAAGUUUAGUAAAGAUUUAUUCUUAUCUCGAUUUGAAGAGAGUUAAUUUAAUUUGUUAGUUAAUGUGGAAUUAUUAUUAAUAAAAUUGAGUUGGUAAUGAAAUGUUAUUCGUUCUUCAAGAUAUCUAGUUCCUUAAGAAAUGAAUUUAAUUCAUUGAUACUAAGUUAGUGGAAAAUAUAUAAUAUAAUUUUAUUAUAAUAGUAUAGAAAUAGUUUGGGGGAUAAGCUUCAGAUUAGAGAUUAAAAUUGUUUAUUAAUAUUCAAAUUUAUUUAGGCUUAGAAGUAGCUAUAAUUUCAAAAGUGUUGUAACUUAAUUUUGUUAUAUUUAUGUUAUUUAGAGUAAUUUAAAUUUGUAUUAAGGUGUUAUUUUGAAUUAUGUAUGGUUAGUAAUAAUGAUUAAAUUAGUAUAAAUAUUGAAUAUUGGAGGUUUAAUUGUAAAGGAAGAAUGCGAGAAAGGUUACAAUAAGGAACUAGGCAAAUUAAUGCUCGCCUGUUUAACAAAAACAUGUCUUUUUGAUAAUAAUUUAAAGUCUGACCUGCCCACUGAAUAAUUAAAGGGCCGCGGUAUUUUGACCGUGCAAAGGUAGCAUAAUCAUUAGUCUUUUCAUUGAAGGCUGGAAUGAAUGGUUGGACGAGGUAUUGACUGUCUCAUUGUGAAUGAAAAUUGAAUUUAACUUUUAAGUGAAAAGGCUUAAUUGUAUUUAAAGGACGAGAAGACCCUAUAGAUCUUUAUGUCAGUUUAUUUUAUAUUGAUUUGGAGUAUAUAUUUAUUUAAAAUAAAUUGGUAUUUCGUUGGGGUGACGAGAAGAUAAAGAAAACUCUUUUAAAUGUAAACAUUGAUUUUUGAAGUAUCUAAGAUCCAGUAGUAUUGAUUUUAAGACUAAGUUACCUUAGGGAUAACAGCGUGAUCCUUUUAGAGAGUUCUUAUCGACAAGAGGGGUUGCGACCUCGAUGUUGGAUUAAGGUUAACCUUAGGUGCAGAAGCUUAAGUGUUUAGGUCUGUUCGACCUUUAAUUCCUUACAUGAUCUGAGUUCAGACCGGCGUAAGCCAGGUCGGUUUCUAUCCUUAAAUAAAAUAGAAUAUUUUAGUACGAAAGGACCAAGUAUUUCAAUUUAUUUGUAAAAACUGAUGAAAAUUAAUUAGAAUU